This 429-nucleotide ribosomal RNA is filed under the name Bacteroidota bacterium. RNAcentral's name for it is "Bacteroidetes bacterium partial 16S ribosomal RNA". It matches the Rfam family "Bacterial small subunit ribosomal RNA", at positions 355 to 776 of the family's 1533-position model. The record is from RNAcentral. Lineage: Bacteria; Pseudomonadati; Bacteroidota.
UAGGGAAUCUUCCGCAAUGGACGCAAGUCUGACGGAGCAACGCCGCGUGAGUGAAGAAGGAUUUCGGUUCGUAAAACUCUGUUGUUAGAGAAGAACAGCGCAUAGAGAAACUGUUAUGCGUGUGACGGUAUCUAAGCAGAAAGCCACGGCUAACUACGUGCCAGCAGCCGCGGUAAUACGUAGGUGGCAAGCGUUGUCCGGAUUUAUGGGGCGUAAAGCGAGCGCAGGCGGUCAAUUAAGUCUGAUGUGAAAGCACCCGGCUCAACCGGGGAGGGUCAUUGGAAAUUGAUGUACUAGAGUGCAGAGGAGGAUGGUGUAAUUCCAUGUGUAGCGGUGAAAUGCGUAGAUAUAUGGAGGAACACCGGUGGCGAAAGCGGCUUUCUGGUCUGUUACUGCCGCUGAGGCUCGAAAGCGUGAGGAGCGAACAGG